RNAcentral lists this ribosomal RNA (795 nucleotides) under Enterococcus faecalis. RNAcentral's name for it is "bacterial SSU rRNA". It matches the Rfam family "Bacterial small subunit ribosomal RNA", at positions 23 to 789 of the family's 1533-position model. Lineage: Bacteria; Bacillati; Bacillota; Bacilli; Lactobacillales; Enterococcaceae. The record is from RNAcentral.
CUCAGGACGAACGCUGGCGGCGUGCGUAAUACAUGCAAGUCGAACGCUUCUUUCCUCCCGAGUGCUUGCACUCAAUUGGAAAGAGGAGUGGCGGACGGGUGAGUAACACGUGGGUAACCUACCCAUCAGAGGGGGAUAACACUUGGAAACAGGUGCUAAUACCGCAUAACAGUUUAUGCCGCAUGGCAUAAGAGUGAAAGGCGCUUUCGGGUGUCGCUGAUGGAUGGACCCGCGGUGCAUUAGCUAGUUGGUGAGGUAACGGCUCACCAAGGCCACGAUGCAUAGCCGACCUGAGAGGGUGAUCGGCCACACUGGGACUGAGACACGGCCCAGACUCCUACGGGAGGCAGCAGUAGGGAAUCUUCGGCAAUGGACGAAAGUCUGACCGAGCAACGCCGCGUGAGUGAAGAAGGUUUUCGGAUCGUAAAACUCUGUUGUUAGAGAAGAACAAGGACGUUAGUAACUGAACGUCCCCUGACGGUAUCUAACCAGAAAGCCACGGCUAACUACGUGCCAGCAGCCGCGGUAAUACGUAGGUGGCAAGCGUUGUCCGGAUUUAUUGGGCGUAAAGCGAGCGCAGGCGGUUUCUUAAGUCUGAUGUGAAAGCCCCCGGCUCAACCGGGGAGGGUCAUUGGAAACUGGGAGACUUGAGUGCAGAAGAGGAGAGUGGAAUUCCAUGUGUAGCGGUGAAAUGCGUAGAUAUAUGGAGGAACACCAGUGGCGAAGGCGGCUCUCUGGUCUGUAACUGACGCUGAGGCUCGAAAGCGUGGGGAGCAAACAGGAUUAGAUACCCUG